RNAcentral lists this ribosomal RNA (820 nucleotides) under Neocallimastix sp. NYR3. RNAcentral describes it as "eukaryotic LSU rRNA". It matches the Rfam family "Eukaryotic large subunit ribosomal RNA", at positions 1 to 667 of the family's 3401-position model. The record is from RNAcentral. Lineage: Eukaryota; Fungi; Neocallimastigomycota; Neocallimastigomycetes; Neocallimastigales; Neocallimastigaceae.
ACUUGAUCUCAAAUCAGAUAAGAGUACCCGCUGAACUUAAGCAUAUCAAUAAGCGGAGGAAAAGAAACUAACAAGGAUUCCCUUAGUAACGGCGAGUGAAGCGGGAAGAGCUCAAAUUUGAAAUCUUCAAGGUUCUACCUUGACGAAUUGUAGUUUAAAGAAGUGUUUUCUGUUAGAUGAGUAGCAAAAGUUCCUUGGAAUGGGGCAUCAUAGAGGGUGAGAAUCCCGUAUUUGGUUAUUCAUUCUAGCUUUGUGAUACACUUUCAAAGAGUCGGAUUGUUUGGGAAUGCAGUCCAAAAUGGGUGGUAAAUUUCAUCUAAAGCUAAAUAUUGGCGAGAGACCGAUAGCGAACAAGUACCGUGAGGGAAAGAUGAAAAGAACUUUGAAAAGAGAGUUAAACAGUACGUGAAAUUGUCAAAAGGGAAGCGUUUGACACCAGUGUUGUUUUUCCGAAAAUCAAUUACGAAUGGCUUGAUUUUGUGCUGUAUUGACCUUAUCAGCUUUCUUCACUUUUUUCGAGUCUUUCUUAAUGCACUUUUCGGUUAACAAGUCAACAUCAAUUUCUUUUGUUGUAAAAGAGUAUUCGGAAGGUGGCUUUCUUUUCGGAGAAAGUGUUUAUAGCCCUAUACUUCUACAAUCGGAGAGAUUGAGGUCUGCAGCGUAGAUCCUUCGGGGUUAGAUACACUUGUGCUAAGUUGUAGCUUUUCAUAGACAACUUGUUGACUAUGUUUAGUCUUGCGGCUUGCUCGCUUGUGCUAUUUCACCUACGCUUAGGAUGUUGACAAAAUGGUUUUAAACGACCCGUCUUGAAACACGGACC